Molecule: long non-coding RNA, 884 nt
Filed under: Ananas comosus (pineapple)
Lineage: Eukaryota; Viridiplantae; Streptophyta; Magnoliopsida; Poales; Bromeliaceae
Description: long non-coding RNA (ACOM_LNC010860)
Source: RNAcentral
UAUUAUUUUUAUUCUAUGUAUAUAUUAACUUUUCAAUUUUGAUACGUUUAGUUUAAAAUAUAUAUUUAUAUUUUAAAUUUAUCAGAAUUAAAAAAAAUAUAGAAAAAUAUUCGAUGUAUACCUAAAUCUACACUAAUAUAUAAAUUUUAUAAAAUAAAAAUUAUAUAAUUAUUGUUGGCAACAAUUAUUUAAAUUUGAGUUAAAUGUAGCAAAUAUUUUUUAAUAGUGUAUAAUAAAUAAAUUUAUUUUUUUAGAAUUUAAAUUUUAUAUUAUAAAUUUUUGAAUAAAUGAAAUGUACAAAUUUAUAUAAUUUAAGAUAAUUAUUAAAAUAUUUGUUACGUGGAUUUCCUCGAAUACUCAACUAGUCUUAUACAAUAUUCAGGGCUAAUAAAUUUAUUAAUUUAUUAAAUUAGUUUUAAACAAUUUUUUUUUUUGAUUAAACAGGGAUAUAUGUUUUAAACAAUAUUUUGAUGUUAAUUAAUUAGAUAAAAUAACUUUAAUUUAAAAUUAUAACUCUUAUUUCUCUUGUUCCAAUCUAAUCAUACAAAUACUAUUUACUUUAUUUCUAGGAACAACUCAAUUUUCAUUCAACGCAAAAUUACUCUAGUUCCUGUUUGUAAAUGAAUUUGUACCUAUCCCUGCUUAUUCAUCUAAAUGCAAAAUUGAUCUAAUUCAUGUUUAUACUUGAAUUUGUAUCUAUUUCUAAAAUAAGCAGUUUUUAUUUAUACCCGAACCAAACACAGCCUUAAGGAUAAUAAACAUAUUCUGAUCACAAGAGAGUAAUGUCAUGUGUAGUGAAAGAGUACAAUUAAGAAAUAUCUUAUUUAUUUUUGUCAGCAAUAACAUAUUUUGCAAAUAAAAGUAUAUUUUGAGAAGGUGAUCGA